AUUGAACGCUGGCGGCAGGCUUAACACAUGCAAGUCGAGCGGAGAUGAGGUGCUUGCACCUUAUCUUAGCGGCGGACGGGUGAGUAAUGCUUAGGAAUCUGCCUAUUAGUGGGGGACAACAUUCCGAAAGGAAUGCUAAUACCGCAUACGUCCUACGGGAGAAAGCAGGGGAUCUUCGGACCUUGCGCUAAUAGAUGAGCCUAAGUCGGAUUAGCUAGUUGGUGGGGUAAAGGCCUACCAAGGCGACGAUCUGUAGCGGGUCUGAGAGGAUGAUCCGCCACACUGGGACUGAGACACGGCCCAGACUCCUACGGGAGGCCGCAGUGGGGAAUAUUGGACAAUGGGGGGAACCCUGAUCCAGCCAUGCCGCGUGUGUGAAGAAGGCCUUAUGGUUGUAAAGCACUUUAAGCGAGGAGGAGGCUACUGAGACUAAUACUCUUGGAUAGUGGACGUUACCCGCAGAAUAAGCACCGGCUAACUCUGUGCCAGCAGCCGCCGUAA
Molecule: ribosomal RNA, 501 nt
Filed under: uncultured bacterium
Lineage: Bacteria
Description: partial 16S ribosomal RNA
Rfam family: Bacterial small subunit ribosomal RNA
Source: RNAcentral